UGCACGGUGGUGCAGUUGGAAGCACUGUUGCCUUGAAACAAGAAGGUCCUGGGUUCGACUUCCGGCCGGGGGUCUUUCUGCAU
Molecule: non-coding RNA, 83 nt
Organism: Ataeniobius toweri
Lineage: Eukaryota; Metazoa; Chordata; Actinopteri; Cyprinodontiformes; Goodeidae
Source: the annotation of a GenBank genome assembly